This 253-nucleotide ribosomal RNA is filed under the name uncultured bacterium. RNAcentral describes it as "partial 16S ribosomal RNA". It matches the Rfam family "Bacterial small subunit ribosomal RNA", at positions 524 to 776 of the family's 1533-position model. The record is from RNAcentral.
UACAGAGGGUGCGAACGUUGCUCGGAAUUAUUGGGCGUAAAGCGCGUGUAGGCGGCUUGUUAAGUUGGUUGUGAAAACCCAUGGCUCAACCAUGGAAGUGCGUCCAAAACUGGCAAGCUAGAGUUCUGACGAGGAUGGCGGAAUUCCCAGUGUAGAGGUGAAAUUCGUAGAUAUUGGGAGGAACACCGGUGGCGAAGGCGGCCAUCUGGGAAGAUACUGACGCUGAGACGCGAAAGCGUGGGGAGCAAACAGG